Molecule: small RNA, 708 nt
Filed under: Drosophila pseudoobscura pseudoobscura
Lineage: Eukaryota; Metazoa; Arthropoda; Insecta; Diptera; Drosophilidae
Description: GA31283
Source: RNAcentral
CCAGGAGCGGAUCCAACGCAAGCGGCGGGAGCGGCGAAAGAAAUGCUGUUACCUUACCUUCCAUUCAACAUCAUUUCAUACCCUUGCUGAAGCCAACUGAAAAAACUGCAGUGUAUUCAUAUAUAAGAAAAUCAGAAGGAAUGUUCCACCAACGAAGCUAGAAGGGAGGGUUUUUAUUAGUUGAGAGAAAGCGAAAUGAGGUUUGUUUUUAUAAUAAUUUAUUACGUGUACAGCAUUUUCAAUAAUUUUAUUAUUUUGCCUUGAUUGUUUUCGCCCCUCCCCAUUGUGGGGCUUCGGCGAUUGUUUGAAACUAACAGCCAGUCUACAAUGCUCUACUGCCACUGAUUCGAUUAGGUGUCUAAUUUGUAUUUAUUGUUAAGUUUCUUUAAAUAAAAAAGCUAUGGGCCCCCCACCCUUGAGGGCUGAAUGCGCUCCUGGUCUGUUCGGCCAGUGCCGGUUCUCUGUUGUGCAUACUCAUACACAGGCAUUCACUGUACGAAAAUCGUAAGAAUGGAUGUGCAUGGGUGUGUGUAUUGUGUGACGCCGUCGUCGCAUGCGUUUUUUUGUGAAAAAGGGGGAGCCAGAUCGUUACCCAGCCAGAGCUGCCAGGUGGGGAAAUGAUGGAACUAGCUAGAAUUGUUGAAAGUACCACCGAUGGUACUCCGUAUUUGGUAAUUGGUAUUAAAAAGAGUUGGACGCUCACACAUA